Molecule: RNA transcript, 976 nt
Organism: Dreissena polymorpha
Lineage: Eukaryota; Metazoa; Mollusca; Bivalvia; Myida; Dreissenidae
Exons: 4
Source: RefSeq, a predicted model, not a curated record
GAGAAAAACAGCGAUGUGACUGACUUUCUUGAAAUGCGAAUCUCCCGAGAUUUCACGGUCAUAUGACGUUAUUUCUAUUUUUAGUAACAAACCAUGUGCUCAAGUGUUUUCAAAUUCAGAAUGACAUUUCCCGGUAUUUUAAUUAUUCUGGCUUAUUUUGUAAACAAAUUGUAGUGUCAAUACAAAGUCAAAGUAAAUAUUAUAUAAAACUACCUGAUUCACAAUGAAAUCAUUCUUAAUAAUCCACCAGACGUAAGUUGUUAAUCACAAAUAAUAGAUUUCAGAAAACGAAAGUAAUGUUUACAAUUUCAGCAUAAAAUGUCAAGGUCGAUCCGAAAGUAUCCAAAUAAAAACUCGUCACGUGACAAAGCGACAAUGGCGUCAAAAUUGUGAAUUUCAGACUGAUGAGAGUUAUUUUCGUCUAUUGUGCCCAAGACAGGAGAAAAGUGAACCGUAUUGCUGGGGACUCCAAUGCUCAUCGGAUUAAGGAUAUUCUUCCUGACGAUAUAGCUGUCAAAUGCCUGCCAAUCUCUGACAUUCGCUAACUCUGUUUUCAAAGGUGCCAAAUUUUCUUGUGAUCGUUUUCGCCAUGCAUUGUUGAGAGACUUGCGGAAGAUGGAUGUUCAACAGCUGUAUCUUCAUCUAGGCUCAAAUGACAUUCUUACGAAUGAAGCGGUGUUUUACCGGAGGCGCACAAUCGGUGUCCAGAAUGCAGGGUUGUUUGCUCCAACGAUGACGCUUUGCUGAGCCACUUCUGCAGUCGCCAUAUCAAGCAACCAGAGACUGGAAAAGAGAGUAAAAUUAAGCUGAUAGGCUCACCAAUGGUAUAACUUUAAAUCACUAACUUGUGUAUGCUUGACAAGCAUUUUAUGUACAAAUAAAGUAACAAAAAAGGAGGUCAACACAUUCACUUUCCCAUAUAAUGCUUUCUGUAUCUUUUAGCAACUAAUGACACGAUUUUGUGUUGACAUACUCA